Molecule: ribosomal RNA, 253 nt
Filed under: uncultured bacterium
Lineage: Bacteria
Description: partial 16S ribosomal RNA
Rfam family: Bacterial small subunit ribosomal RNA
Source: RNAcentral
GACAGAGGUGCCAAGCGUUAGGCGGAAUCACUGGGCUUAAAGCGUGUGUAGGCGGAUCGUUAAGUACCUUGUGAAAUCCCACGGCUCAACCGUGGAACUGCUGGGUAUACUGGCGAUCUUGAGCCACCUAGGGGCGAGCGGAACAAGCGAUGGAGCGGUGAAAUGCGUAGAUAUCCGGAGGAACACCGACGGCGUAGGCAGCGCCCUGGACGACACCUGACGCUGAGGCACGAAAGCUGGGGGAGCGAACAGG